Molecule: long non-coding RNA, 327 nt
Organism: Cuculus canorus (common cuckoo)
Lineage: Eukaryota; Metazoa; Chordata; Aves; Cuculiformes; Cuculidae
Exons: 3
Source: RefSeq, a predicted model, not a curated record
CCGGUAAUUCUCGUGCACAAAGGCGCGGAUAGGAAAUCGGGCUGGCACAACCAUCCACUGCUGUGAAGGCAGAAGGUACUGCAGAGACUCAGAGCCUGAUGAGGAUCAAGGAAUGGAGGUAGUUUGUGGAGUCAGAGCCCUUCAGUGUGGGAAUAGAGGAGGUUUUUGACAUCCUGCCACUGUACAGUGUGCUGCAGCCGAGUGAGAGCCAGCGGGUCAUGUUCCCCCUCUUUGGCCGUGCAGAUAUUGUCGCCCACGUCAUGGCACUGUGCAGGGUGGAGGGAGGCCCAACCUACGAGAUUGCGCUGAGCGGGGAUGCUUCGCUUA